Molecule: ribosomal RNA, 781 nt
Filed under: uncultured Neocallimastigales
Lineage: Eukaryota; Fungi; Neocallimastigomycota; Neocallimastigomycetes; Neocallimastigales
Description: partial large subunit ribosomal RNA
Rfam family: Eukaryotic large subunit ribosomal RNA
Source: RNAcentral
UAUCUCUGUAGAGUCUGCAUAUCAAUAAGCGGAGGAAAAGAAACUAACAAGGAUUCCCUUAGUAACGGCGAGUGAAGCGGGAAGAGCUCAAAUUUGAAAUCUUCAAGGUUUUACCUCGACGAAUUGUAGUUUAAAGAAGUGUUUUCUGUUGAGGUUUCGGUAAAAGUUCUUUGGAAUAGGACAUCAUAGAGGGUGAGAAUCCCGUAUUUGACCAUUAUUUCCAGCUUUGUGAUACACUUUCAAAGAGUCGGAUUGUUUGGGAAUGCAGUCCAAAAUGGGUGGUAAAUUUCAUCUAAAGCUAAAUAUUGGCGAGAGACCGAUAGCGAACAAGUACCGUGAGGGAAAGAUGAAAAGAACUUUGAAAAGAGAGUUAAACAGUACGUGAAAUUGUCAAAAGGGAAGCGUUUGACACCAGUGUUGUUUCUACGAAAAUCAAUUUAUGAUGGCUUGAUGCUAAGCUUUAAGACUUUAUCCGCUUGUUGUUUAGUUUUCUUGUCUUUGUGAAUGCACUUUUCGUGGAACAAGUCAACAUCAAUUUCUUUUGCUGUAAAAGGGUAAGAGGAAGGUGGCUUCGGCUUCGGUUGAAGUGUUUAUAGCCUUUUAUCUCUGCAAGUCGGAGAGAUUGAGGUCUGCAGCGUAGACUCCUUCGGGGUUAGAUACAGUCGGUGCUAAGUUAUAGCCUUUUCAUAGACAACUUGUUGACUAUGAUUCAGUCAUGUAGGCUUACCUCGCUUAGGGCUAUUUUACCUACGCUUAGGAUGUUGAGUCAUCACACAUCUCU